This 492-nucleotide ribosomal RNA is filed under the name uncultured bacterium. RNAcentral describes it as "partial 16S ribosomal RNA". It matches the Rfam family "Bacterial small subunit ribosomal RNA", at positions 28 to 523 of the family's 1533-position model. The record is from RNAcentral.
GAUGAACGCUAGCGGAAGGCUUAAUACAUGCAAGUCGAGCGGUAGUCCCUUUCGGGGGAUGAGAGCGGCGCACGGGUGAGUAACGCGUACAUGACCUGCCUAUCAGAAGGGGAUAGCCCUGGGAAACUGGGAUUAAUACCCUAUGGCAUUGUAUUUUUAAAUGGAUACAAUUAAAGCUGAGGCGCUGAUAGAUGGAUGUGCGUCUGAUUAGCUAGUUGGUGGGGUAAAGGCCCACCAAGGCGACGAUCAGUAGGGGGCGUGAGAGCGUGGUCCCCCACACGGGUACUGAGACACGGACCCGACUCCUACGGGAGGCAGCAGUAAGGAAUAUUGGUCAAUGCCCGCAAGGGUGGACCAGCCAUUCCGCGUGGAGGAUGAAGGCCCUAUGGGUUGUAAACUUCUUUUAGAUGGGAAGAAAAUGCUUUGUUUACAAGGUACUGACGGUACCAUCAGAAUAAGCACCGGCUAACUCCGUGCCAGCCGCCGCGGUAA